CAAGACAGAGUCCAUUAUAUAUGAGCAAUGGUUUACAGAAUGAUUUAAAACAGAGGAGAAGAACAACAAUUUGAUUGAUUACUUUUGAUAAAAUGAAACAUCAAUUUGUUUAGUUAAUCCUCUAUUUACAUAGUAAAGAGAGAGAAGAACAUCAACUUAAUGAAACUGAGCAUUACCUGAUCAAUCACAACAACGAAUGCUCUGUAUGCUGUAUAUAUCACAAACAUGUAUAGAUUCUGGGUACCAAAAAAUUUCCCCCAGAUCACCCUAGCCCUAACAUAAAGCAACAAAUCGGAAUUCUUGCUUUCACUAUAUACACAUAGAUGGUUUCCUCAAGUCCAAUGAAUUAAUAGAAAUUAAGAAAGAUGAAUCCCUCCCAAAAUCUGCUUACACAGCUCCACCAGAUGAUUACCUUGCUUA
Long non-coding RNA from Neltuma alba, 420 nucleotides. RefSeq lists it as uncharacterized. The transcript has 3 exons. The record is from RefSeq and is a predicted model, not a curated record. Lineage: Eukaryota; Viridiplantae; Streptophyta; Magnoliopsida; Fabales; Fabaceae.